CUUGCUAUCAGGCGUCGAGCGGCGGACGGGUGAGUAAUACUUAGGAAUCUACCUAGUAGUGGGGGAUAGCACGGGGAAACUCGUAUUAAUACCGCAUACGACCUACGGGAGAAAGGGGGCAGUUUACUGCUCUCGCUAUUAGAUGAGCCUAAGUCGGAUUAGCUAGAUGGUGGGGUAAAGGCCUACCAUGGCGACGAUCUGUAGCUGGUCUGAGAGGAUGAUCAGCCACACCGGGACUGAGACACGGCCCGGACUCCUACGGGAGGCAGCAGUGGGGAAUAUUGGACAAUGGGGGAAACCCUGAUCCAGCCAUGCCGCGUGUGUGAAGAAGGCCUUUUGGUUGUAAAGCACUUUAAGCAGUGAAGAAGACUCUUCGGUUAAUACCCGGAGACGAUGACAUUAGCUGCAGAAUAAGCACCGGCUAACUCUGUGCCAGCAGCCGCGGUAAUACAGAGGGUGCAAGCGUUAAUCGGAAUUACUGGGCGUAAAGGGAGCGUAGGUGGCUCUAUAAGUCAGAUGUGAAAUCCCCGGGCUUAACCUGGGAACUGCAUCUGAAACUGUAGAGCUAGAGUAUGUGAGAGGGAGGUAGAAUUUCAGGUGUAGCGGUGAAAUGCGUAGAGAUCUGAAGGAAUACCGAUGGCGAAGGCAGCCUCCUGGCAUAAUACUGACACUGAGGCUCGAAAGCGUGGGUAGCAAACAGGAUUAGAUACCCUGGUAGUCCACGCCGUAAACGAUGUCUACUAGUCGUUGGGUCCCUUGAGGACUUAGUGACGCAGCUAACGCAAUAAGUAGACCGCCUGGGGAGUACGGCCGCAAGGUUAAAACUCAAAUGAAUUGACGGGGGCCCGCACAAGCGGUGGAGCAUGUGGUUUAAUUCGAUGCAACGCGAAGAACCUUACCUGGUCUUGACAUAUCUAGAAUCCUGCAGAGAUGCGGGAGUGCCUUCGGGAAUUAGAAUACA
RNAcentral lists this ribosomal RNA (961 nucleotides) under Psychrobacter sp. Its description in RNAcentral is "bacterial SSU rRNA". It matches the Rfam family "Bacterial small subunit ribosomal RNA", at positions 75 to 1036 of the family's 1533-position model. Lineage: Bacteria; Pseudomonadati; Pseudomonadota; Gammaproteobacteria; Moraxellales; Moraxellaceae. The record is from RNAcentral.